This 1043-nucleotide unclassified non-coding RNA is filed under the name Hevea brasiliensis (rubber tree). Lineage: Eukaryota; Viridiplantae; Streptophyta; Magnoliopsida; Malpighiales; Euphorbiaceae. The record is from RNAcentral.
GCCACAAAUACACAAAGCUCAAAAUCGUCUUCUGAGUUGCUUGUGCCUCUGUUGUAAUUCUGGACCGAUCUAUAUGGUUGAGACAUAGAAAUGGCAAUUUCUCUCAAUUCUGUUGGGUUCAACUCAAAGUUGCCAGCUAUUAUGUACCAGCAUGUGUCAAGAUCUUCUCUUCGAGCUUCAUCAUCUAAGACUAACCAAGUCAUUUUUCCCCUGGGAAUGAUUGGUUCAAGGGUUCAUACAAAGGGAAGGGGAAUGUGUCUUUCAGUUGCAGACAGUGAUCGUCUUGCUACGGACACCAGUGAUAAUAGUCCUGGUAGUGCUGAAGGUUCAAUUUCUAAUAAUCAGCUUUCAUCCUUGGAUUCUCCUGGAGGAACUAGCCAGCUCCAAACUAGUGUUGAUAAUGAGCCAGGACCUCAAACCUCUGGAGUUUCUAGUGGUUCCACAAUUCCAUCAGAUGUGAAGCCGGAGAGACAACCUGACUUCCAAUCUACAGCCAAAAGAUCACCUCUAACAGCAAGAGAGAGACUAAAGGCUGCCAGGGUUCUCAGUCGUUAUACGGAAUCAAAGGCAUCAAAAUCAGAAAUGGGCAGCAAAGUACUAGAUGCUCUGAAGGAAAGUGAAAAGGGAAAGAAGAGAUCUGGCCUUCCAGAAGCCCCUACAAACUUGUUUGAUGACAGUGACAGAGGGAUGCCAAAGGAAGGAUGGACAUUUGAGUUUCCAGGAGGUGCUGAUCUAUUUGUGAUAGUGUUUUCAUUUGUUUUCAUCAGCACAGUUAUGUUUGCAACAACUUCAUGUUGUCUGGAAAGUUGGUGCAAUCCAUUUCAAUGAGUACUAAGGUGAAGUUCAAAGGGAUUCUGCAUUUUCGGUUACCCAUUAAAGAUCAUACUGUUUUGACGUCAGGCACAUAUGGGGUAGGAUUUUAAAGGUAUUUUAAGACGAGAUACAUGCAUUCAUGUUCAAAAGUUGUUUGGCCCGCAUUUAUGUAUCAAAGAUUUGCAUUUGGGAAUGCCAACAGAUGCCCCCACUUUUGUAUUUCACCUUAG